GACAGAGGGGGCAAGCGUUGCUCGGAAUUACUGGGCGUAAAGGGCGCGUAGGCGGGAUGGCAAGUCGGUCGUGAAAUCCCUCGGCUCAACCGAGGAACGUCGAUCGAUACUGCUGUUCUUGAGGAUUGCAGAGGAGACUGGAAUUCCCGGUGUAGCGGUGAAAUGUGUAGAGAUCGGGAGGAACACCGGUGGCGAAGGCGGGUCUCUGGGCAAUUCCUGACGCUGAGGCGCGAAAGCGUGGGUAGCAAACAGG
Molecule: ribosomal RNA, 253 nt
Filed under: uncultured bacterium
Lineage: Bacteria
Description: partial 16S ribosomal RNA
Rfam family: Bacterial small subunit ribosomal RNA
Source: RNAcentral